This is a long non-coding RNA of Rhinolophus ferrumequinum (greater horseshoe bat), 1380 nucleotides long. RefSeq lists it as uncharacterized. The record is from RefSeq and is a predicted model, not a curated record. The transcript is spliced from 3 exons. NCBI's taxonomy places the organism in Eukaryota, Metazoa, Chordata, Mammalia, Chiroptera, Rhinolophidae.
UUGCUUUAUAAGUGUCUUCAAGGUCUCAGUCUGACUUAAAGAAACCAAAACUGGAGCUUCUGGAUGAUGCAUUAUGGGUGGUUUUGAAAGAAAGACUGCUUGGAACUCAGAUCAGCAGACCCCAACACAAAGAAAGGGCCUUGGCUCAACAUCAAAAGAGUGGCAAGUGAAUGAACAUCCAUAUGUUUUAGGUUAAAAUUAAAUCUUUAAGACUUGGGACUCAGCAUUCACCUGCAAGCUGCCUGACAAUUCAAAACCAGCAUUCCUCUUUUGGAGAGCUAUUUACAGUUCUAAAAAAUUCAGCCCAGGAGAUAGAAAGAGAGAGCAGUCCUAUGAAAUUGGCAUCUUUUGAUAAUUUCUACCUCAGAUGAAGAAUUUUCCAAAUACAACUGGACAUGGCACAAAGAGGAAAAAAAACUGGAAAACAACUUAAGCCCUCCAGCGCAGGGGGAGAAAUCAUUUUUCCUCUUUCUCUGGAUUUCCAUUUGGCUUCCUGGAAUUCAUUCAGUCUUCACCUUGGAGUCCCAGUGCUCCGCAGAAUGCCUGGCCCAUACUAAAUGCUGGACAAAUAUUGGUUGAAUGGGAUGCAUGAAAGUCAAGGAGAUGCGGGUGGAGCUGGCAGAGACCGUCCCCAUGACUUCCAAGGCUGCCCCUGCUUGCUGGGCAUGAGCUCCUGAGUCCCCUUCGGCAGCUGAACUUCAUUUGCCCCAGGCAGGAACACAUCCUGUCCCCAUCUCCAUCCCAGUCUCUUCCCACCUACUUCCCGAAGGCUUGGAUGAUUGUAUCAGCCACCACCACGUGACCAUCUGCUCCCAGCCUCUCCCUACUCCCCCACCCUCCCCUCUUCUAAGCCAUCUUUCUAAAGCAUUGUUUUGAUCCCAUUACAUUUCUGUUCUAACAUCUUUCCUGGUUCUCCAUCAUCUUCAGGAAAGAGACUCCUGAAGCUACAGUUUUCCAUCAAAGGCCCUUCACAACCCAUCUUUAUUUCCCUCUCUGGUUUCUUCUCAAAUCACUACCCUGGUCCCUCACCCCCAAUCCUUGCUCCACGUACCCCACACUCCAGCCAAAGGAAAAGCUCAAUGACGCCUGAGAACACCAUGCACUUUCCUGUCUUUUUGUCUUGCUCAUGCGGUUUCACGUGCACAGACUGUUUCUGCUUGCCUUGCCCAAGUAAUCGACUUUUAUUAAACCUGUGAGAGAGAUCAAACACUUCUCUGAACUUCUGUUUUCUCCAAGUCAAUUCCAUCCCUGCCUCAAACCCACAGAAUCAACGGCUCCUCAUCCAAACCACGUUAGCCCUUACAUGUACCACAUUCUACGGACUCAUUUUCACAUUCUCUCUCUCUCUCUCCCACCUCCCCCGAACCCCCGGACCCUAUC